AACGAACGCUGGCGGCGUGUUUAAGACAUGCAAGUCGCACGGGAUAAGACAUGUAGUAAUACUUGUUUUAUUUAGUGGCGCACGGGUGAGUAACACGUGAAUUACAUGCCCUAUAGUGGGGAAUAGCCCAGGGAAACUUGGAUUAAUACCCCAUGGUAUCGAAAGAUUAAAGGUGGCCGCAAGGCUGUCGCUAUAGGAUUGGUUCGCGCCCUAUCAGCUUGUUGGUGAGGUAACGGCUCACCAAGGCAAUGACGGGUACCUGGUCUGAGAGGACGAUCAGGCACACUGGAACUGAGACACGGUCCAGACACCUACGGGUGGCAGCAGUCGAGAAUAAUUCACAAUGGGGGCAACCCUGAUGGUGCAACGCCGCGUGGAGGAUGACGGUCUUCGGAUUGUAAACUCCUGUCAUCUGGGAGAAGGACCUGACGGUAAAUAGCCGGCAGGGUUGAUAGUACCAGAAGAGGAAGGGACGGCUAACUUCGUGCCAGCAGCAGCCGCGG
This 503-nucleotide ribosomal RNA is filed under the name uncultured bacterium. Its description in RNAcentral is "partial 16S ribosomal RNA". It matches the Rfam family "Bacterial small subunit ribosomal RNA", at positions 29 to 523 of the family's 1533-position model. The record is from RNAcentral.